UGCCCGGUGGUGCAACCGGUAACACGCUUGGCUCUGGACCAAGUAUUCCUGGUUCGAAUCCAGGCCGGGCAGCCA
This 75-nucleotide transfer RNA is filed under the name Candidatus Omnitrophota bacterium. RNAcentral's name for it is "tRNA-Gln". It matches the Rfam family "tRNA". From Rfam's summary of the family: Transfer RNA (tRNA) molecules are approximately 80 nucleotides in length. Their secondary structure includes four short double-helical elements and three loops (D, anti-codon, and T loops). Lineage: Bacteria; Pseudomonadati; Candidatus Omnitrophota. The record is from RNAcentral.